This 551-nucleotide long non-coding RNA is filed under the name Chlamydomonas reinhardtii. Its description in RNAcentral is "long non-coding RNA (CREI_LNC001307)". The record is from RNAcentral. Lineage: Eukaryota; Viridiplantae; Chlorophyta; Chlorophyceae; Chlamydomonadales; Chlamydomonadaceae.
CAGCACCUUCUGCACACCACGGGCGAUGUUGUAGUGCUCGGCGCCAAUGAUGUUGGGGUUGAGCAUGCGGCUGGUGGAGUCCAGGGGGUCCACGGCGGGGUAGAUGCCCAGCUCGGCAAUCGAGCGGGACAGCACGGUGGUGGCGUCCAGAUGCGCGAAGGUGGUUGCGGGGGCGGGAUCCGUCAGGUCAUCGGCGGGCACGUACACAGCCUGUAGGCGCGAUGGGCAGUGGGCGGCGACAGGUGUGCAUAACGGCGCACAUGGGUGGUGGUGGACAGCCAGGAUAGGACAGAGCUCAGGGCAACUGGCCAGCCCUCGCGCUCUUGCCCCGCCCCUGGACCCUGCCUCGCAGACGUGUCGUCCCAACAGCGCAGUCACGUGCCCGCAUCCUGACAGCGGCCGUCACCCUUGCCUCGCCCCCGCCCCAGCUGCGCCGCGCACCUGCACCGAGGUAAUGGAACCCUUGGUGGUGGUGGUAAUGCGCUCCUGCAGGCCACCCAGAUCGGUGGCCAGGGUGGGCUGGUAACCCACGGCCGAGGGGAUGCGGCCCA